RNAcentral lists this ribosomal RNA (460 nucleotides) under uncultured bacterium. RNAcentral's name for it is "SSU rRNA". It matches the Rfam family "Bacterial small subunit ribosomal RNA", at positions 26 to 518 of the family's 1533-position model. The record is from RNAcentral.
AGAAUCAACGCUGGCGGCGUGCCUAACACAUGCAAGUCGAACGAGAAAGUGGAGCAAUCCACGAGUAAAGUGGCGCACGGGUGAGUAACACGUGACUAACCUACCCUUGAGUGGGGGAUAACCUAGAGAAAUCUGGGCUAAUACCGCAUAAUACCUUCGGGUCAAAGGAGCAAUUCGCUUAAGGAGGGGGUCGCGGCCGAUUAGUUAGUUGGCGGGGUAAUGGCCCACCAAGACUAUGAUCGGUAUCCGGCCUGAGAGGGCGCACGGACACACUGGAACUGAAACACGGUCCAGACUCCUACGGGAGGCAGCAGUGGGGAAUUUUGCGCAAUGGGGGAAACCCUGACGCAGCAACGCCGCGUGGAGGAUGAAGUCCCUUGGGACGUAAACUCCUUUCGAUCGGGACGAUAAUGACGGUACCGAGAGAAGAAGCCCCGGCUAACUUCGCGCCAGCAGCCGC